AGAGUGGAGUUGCAGCAGCCCCAGGUCAGCCAGGGCCUCCACACUCACCAAAGACACCAAAGAGAGAAACAUUCCCUGUCUUUGGGCAGCACCGAGGACAUGAUCCAGGUCCUGCUGCAUCUGCACAGAGCUGGAGCCAGGGCUGCCAGCACUGAGAUAGCCCAGCUCCAACCUGUCUGCACCAUGGACUGCACCUCACCUCCCCCGAGCCUGACUCUGCUGCAGCACACCCUGGGCAUUGCAGGGCAGGGGAGAGAGUGGCAGGGAAAUGUACACCAGCUGAUGUGCUUGUCUGCUUUCUUUUUACACUAUGUGGGUUAAAACCCUGAAAUUCCUGAGAAGGAUAUCCCAUUUUCUUCUGGCUGCUGAAAAUCACCUCCUGAUGUCCCCUGCUUUCAUGGGCCAUGUCAACUUACUAGAGUACUAUUUUAACGAUUAACUGUUAUAGCAUAAAAGCAAAAGUUCUCUUCGUCCAUCUCUGGGAAAACAGGGGUUUUCUUUUUGUAUCCCUGGGGCAAAGGUUCUUAUCCCUCUCAUCUCUCUGUUCAAGUUUCUCAUUGGAUCACAGCACUGCAACAUCUGCUUAUUUCAACAGUGGUGCUUCUGCUCACUCCUGUAGUUGAAUGUUACAGCUGCAUCCCCCACAAUGCAUUCCAUGAAUUACAGGGGGAAAAAAAGUUUGACAUAGCAAUUAUACCUUCACCAUAGCCCCACAAGAGAAUUUCAGCCCAAAAACUAAGGCAUCUCCUCAAUCCCCUCCCAUCUACAAUUUGACUCCUUCCUCACUGACCUCAGUGUCCCAUGUUGUUUCCUCUGCAUGUCUUCACCUUUUCCUUUUUCUUAUUCAGGAGAGAACCGGUGUUUGUGGACUAAUUUUCUCUCAAGCUUUAUCAAUUGAAACAAUUUUUAUAGAUUUCUGCAGUGCUGAAAGGUUUAUCUCAUUCAGGCUCUGCAUCGGGGGAAUCACUCGCUGUGAUCACUCACUGAUAAUGGGGUUUUUCUUCCCCAUUAUUUCUUUCAUCUUUCAAUGUCUAAUUUCAUUUUUUGGUAAACCUCAAGUUUAUUUGUAAAAGCAAAUAUCUUUUUCCAUUCAUCAAUCAGUGGAAUCCUUCCCAUUGUUUCUUUCAUCUCCCAGUGCUAGCUUUCUCUACCAGCAGACCCACAGCUUGUUUGUAAAGACAAAUCUGCUAUUCCUCUCACUGGGAAAGAGGCCUGGCCCUGCUGGGAAGGGGCCUGGCCCCAUCAGGAAGGGGCUUUGUUAGGUUUCUUUUUCUCGGGCCAGGUCUUAUAAACCCUCAAAAGGGAACCUAACACACCCGAGGAUGGCUUAGCUAUUAGCUUUUGGGGGCAUAUAAUAAGCAAGAUGGCUUCUGCUGCAGUGUUAGAAACAAAAAGGGUUUAAUAAAAGGUAAAAUAACAAACAGAAAAACUCGAGCUAGGUACAGAGGUCCUGGUAUAAACACCUCACAAAAGCAGUUUAGUUCUUUUUGCUCUCUUCUUUUCUACCUGAUGGGCCAGGCGGGACUUUUUGGCUUCUAUCCAAUUAGAUGACCUCGAGAUUUUGGUGAAGUCUCUGAGGUCCUAUGAGGUGGCUUUUCACCUAAUCAUUGAGAGAAACUUCUAGGCUUCUUUCCUUUUUUGGGGGACAAAGGAUAGCUUUGCCGCUCUUGUCCUUAGGGGGCACAAUCCUACAGGGCUUGGCAGGCCUGUGAGGGGCUCAGCAGCCUGCUCACCACCCCUCAGAGGACAGAAAUCUCAGCCAUGCCACGUCCUGCUGCAGGCCGAGCCAGCCUGGCCGCACAGGGCCUGCCCGGCCUGGCCAGUUACCAUUCCAAGCCUGGAAGCCCAAAGACCUUUCCUGGCCUUUGCUGGUUUUUAAAUGUGCCUUCAUGGGGGCGUGUUCAACUCUUUUAAGUGGUUGAACUGGGUGUCAAUCUUCAAAACUAGCCAGCUGAUUGGCUCUGCCAGGCCCCUUCAGGGAACCGCCCCUGCGGCCUGUGGACUGCGCCCAACUGAAAAUCAGAUUUCGUUAAACCGCGACGCUGGAAAGAGAGUAAAGGCCUUCCUCCCUGUGACGACCCAGAAGGGGCAGCAGCCAUGAAGAUCCUGUUCCUGCUCUUCCCCCUGAUCCUUCUGUUGGUCCAGAGUGCUGCAGGGAUGAUCCCUGCCAGGGCUGGACAAGGACUUUUCAUCAGAGGUCGCACAAAUCACGGCACAGCCAGGACAGGGAGUAACCUUCAAUGCAGAGAGAGAGGAGGAAUCUGUUCUUCUGUAAGAUGCCGCCCCCCUCUAAGAACUAUUGGAAGAUGUACAAACAUGGACUUUUGCUGCAGAAGUUUUACGGGUUGAAACCCUGAAAUUCCCAAGCAGGACAUGACCCAUUUGCUUCUGGCUGCUGGACCCAUGUGCUGAUGUCCCCACGUGCUGAUGUCCCCAUGUGCUGAUGUCCCCUGCCCUCGCUGGCUGUGCCGUGCCCAGCUGGGCUGCCAGCAGCAGUGGCAGCUGCUCCUGCUGGCUGCUGCUGGGCUGGAGCCCUGUGGUGGCAGGGCCGGUGUCUUUGGGGCAGGGGCUGCUUUUCCCGGCUUGAAUAAAGAGCAGCACUUUGGCAUUGCAGGGCUGGGCCGUGUGUGCGUGUGCUGCUGCUGCUGCAGGGCUGCUGUGCCUGCUGGCCCUGGGGCUGCCACUGCCUUGGUGGCAGCACAAGGCCCUGGCCAUGGUGCUGGGGCUGAGCAGCGCCUGUGUCCCUGGGGAUGCUCCUGCCUGGCCCUGCUUUGGGGACGCUGAGCCUGGCAGUGCCUGCUGGGCCAGGCUGGCUGGGCUGCCUGUGGUGGGGAUGCCCUGCAGAUGCUCCCUCUGGGGAACUGGGAUCCCUGUGCUGGUCCUGCCACUCCCCUAUGUCCCUUGUCCCUGUCAGCCACGGCCUCCCGUGCAGAGCUGUGCUGGGGGAUGUGUCCCUUGAGUGGCCUUUGCUAUGGUGACCCACAGGAGCUGUCCCUGCUGCUCCUCCUUAUCCUGUUCCAGCACCUCAGCCCUCCCUGCUGUUUCUGUGCUGCUCCACACCUCAUCCCAUCAGACAGGAGUGGGAGGAAGCUGUUCACAUCUUGGGUUGGGUGACCCUUGAAAAGAUGCCAUUGCUGUGGGAAUGAACACAUUUGUUUGGCCAUGGGAGAAUGCAGAAUGUCCUGGCCUCUCUGCCCAUCUCAGGCAGUCUGGAGUGACAAUUCUCUGUACCUUGAAAGGCAGGGGCCUCUCCCUGUGUGCAGAGCAGACCUCGGGCACUGGCAUUUCAAUGGUUUACUAUGUGUGUGUCCGUGUACUUGUGGGUAUAAGAGUAACUGGGGACCUUGCCUGGCUUAGGGACAGCAUUAUCCCCCAGGAAUCAGUGAGUCAUAGAAUUGGUGAUGUUGGAAAGGCCCUUUAAGCUCAUUGAGUGCAACCAUUGCCCCAGCACUGCCAAGGCCACCACUAAACCAAGUCCCCAAAUGCCAUGUCCAGAUGGCUUUUAAAUACUCCAGAGUUAGUAAUUCCACCACUGCCCUGGGCCUGCUGUCCCAACACUACUGAUUAUGCAAAGAAACUGUUCCUAAUACCCAAUUGAAUCCUUCCCUGGUUCUGCUUUUGGCCAUUUCCUCUGCUCAAUUUAUACUUGUGAGAAGAGACCGACACCAACAUUUUUUUGUUGCCAGUGCUCUCUAGAACUGCAAAGUUUGGUGAGGGAUGUUCAUAUGAACCCUGCCUGCUGUGGCCCUUCCUUCCCCUGUGCUAAACCUGAAGUUUUAUUUUGUCCCUCUUCUUUACAAACUAUGCAGACAAGGUUGUUGAAGUGAAAUGAGAGCUAAGUCUUUCCUCUCACUGUACAAAGCAGAGCAAGAUUGCUAUAUUCAGUCAGAUCAUCCACAUCCCACUCUGAGUAUUUAUAACAUCAGGGAAAUGAAGGAAUGCAAAGAAGCAAACCAUUUCCUCAUUUCUACUCUUCCCAGCAUGAUUCACUCUGCCUUGUCCAUCCCAGCCCUCUCCUGCCCAGCCCGGUGCUGCUGUGCCGCGGGUGUCACAAGAGGUGUUGCAUGGGGACAACGGUGACAUUGAUUGCAACAGCCCCACCAGGCCCCUCAGCCUCUGCCCCUACAGCAGCAGGGAGGGAGCAGGGCCAGCCCCAGCACCCCCACAGCCAUGGGGCACUCCCGGGUUGGCCCAGGCCACUUGUGCCAGCAGCAACUGGGGCCUGUCCCACCCACCUGCACUGCUAUAAACCCAGCCUGUUUGGGGCACUGCAGCAUUGCCUGGCCCCAAGGGCAUCUGCACACAGCCAUUCCUGCUGCGUUUGCUGCUGCCUGAACAUCCAGACCUUCUCCAGGCAGCCCUGUGACAACCCAGAAGGGGCAGAAGCCAUGAAGAUCCUGUUCCUGCUCUUCCCCCUGCUCCUCCUGCUGGUCCAGGGUGCUGCAGGAAGUGAACUUCAG
Molecule: RNA transcript, 4460 nt
Organism: Passer domesticus (house sparrow)
Lineage: Eukaryota; Metazoa; Chordata; Aves; Passeriformes; Passeridae
Gene name: gallinacin-5-like
Exons: 7
Source: RefSeq, a predicted model, not a curated record